GUAACCGGAGGAAGGUGGGAUGACGUCAAGUCCUCAUGGCCUUUAUGCCCAGGGCUACACACGUGCUACAAUGGGUGGUACAAAGAGAUGCAAUCUCGCAAGAGGCAAGACAAACCUCAAAAAGCCAUCCUCAGUUCGGAUUGGAGUCUGCAACUCGACUCCAUGAAGUCGGAAUCGCUAGUAAUCGCGGAUCAGCACGCCGCGGUGAAUACGUUCCCGGGCCUU
RNAcentral lists this ribosomal RNA (225 nucleotides) under uncultured Gelria sp. Its description in RNAcentral is "partial 16S ribosomal RNA". It matches the Rfam family "Bacterial small subunit ribosomal RNA", at positions 1159 to 1382 of the family's 1533-position model. Lineage: Bacteria; Bacillati; Bacillota; Clostridia; Thermoanaerobacterales; Thermoanaerobacteraceae. The record is from RNAcentral.